GACGAACGCUGGCGGCGUGCCUAACACAUGCAAGUCGAGCGAGUGAAUCUCCUUCGGGAGUGAAGCUAGCGGCGGACGGGUGAGUAACACGUGGGCAACCUGCCUCAUAGAGGGGAAUAGCCUUCCGAAAGGAAGAUUAAUACCGCAUAAGAUUGUAGCUUCGCAUGAAGUAGCAAUUAAAGGAGCAAUCCGCUAUGAGAUGGGGCCCCGCGGCGCAUUAGCUAGUUGGUGAGGUAACGGCUCACCAAGGCGACGAUGCGUAGCCGACCUGAGAGGGUGAUCGGCCACAUUGGGACUGAGACACGGCCCAGACUCCUACGGGAGGCAGCAGUGGGGAAUAUUGCACAAUGGGGAAACCCUGAUGCAGCAACGCCGCGUGAGUGAUGACGGGCCUUCGGGUUGUAAAGCUCU
Molecule: ribosomal RNA, 411 nt
Filed under: uncultured bacterium
Lineage: Bacteria
Description: bacterial SSU rRNA
Rfam family: Bacterial small subunit ribosomal RNA
Source: RNAcentral